UGAGGAAUAUUGGUCAAUGGCCGAGAGGCUGAACCAGCCAAGUAGCGUGAAGGAUGACUGCCCUAUGGGUUGUAAACUUCUUUUAUAAAGGAAUAAAGUCGCCUACGUGUAGGUGUUUGUAUGUACUUUAUGAAUAAGCAUCGGCUAACUCCGUGCCAGCAGCCGCGGUAAUACGGAGGAUGCGAGCGUUAUCCGGAUUUAUUGGGUUUAAAGGGAGCGCAGACGGGCUGUUAAGUCAGCUGUGAAAUGCCGCGGCUCAACCGUGGACCUGCAGUUGAUACUGGCGGCCUUGAGUGCGGUUGAGGCAGGCGGAAUUCGUGGUGUAGCGGUGAAAUGCUUAGAUAUCACGAAGAACCCCGAUUGCGAAGGCAGCCUGCCAAUCCGUUACUGACGUUCAUGCUCGAAGGUGCGGGUAUCAAACAGG
RNAcentral lists this ribosomal RNA (424 nucleotides) under uncultured Bacteroides sp. RNAcentral describes it as "bacterial SSU rRNA". It matches the Rfam family "Bacterial small subunit ribosomal RNA", at positions 355 to 776 of the family's 1533-position model. The record is from RNAcentral. Lineage: Bacteria; Pseudomonadati; Bacteroidota; Bacteroidia; Bacteroidales; Bacteroidaceae.